This is a non-coding RNA of Salvelinus sp. IW2-2015, 166 nucleotides long. The record is from RefSeq and is a predicted model, not a curated record. Lineage: Eukaryota; Metazoa; Chordata; Actinopteri; Salmoniformes; Salmonidae.
ACACUCAGGAAAGCCAGGAGCAGAUCUGUCAACUGGAGGUCACCACUGUAUGGUGCAGCAGUGCUGGAAGCCUUUAACGCCUGUGCCUACGGAGCUCAGGCUAUGUUUAUGAAAAGGCGAAACGGUGACCAACACGCAUACCUCGAUGAGUCCAAGUCAAUAAGAA